CCCUUAGAUGUUCUGGGCCGCACGCGUGCUACACUGAUGCAUUCAACGAGUCUAAAACCUGGUCUGAUAGGGGUGGGUAAUCUUUUGAAUGUGCAUCGUGAUUGGGAUAGAUGAUUGCAAUUUUUCAUCUUCAACGAGGAAUGCCUAGUAAACGCAAGUCAUCAGCUUGCAUUGAUUACGUCCCUGCCCUUUGUACACACCGCCCGUCGCUCCUACCGAUUGAAUGAUCCGAUGAAUAUCAUGGAUUGAGGAUGCAAGUAGGUUAGCCUAUCUUCAUCUUCGAGAAGUGAAGUAAAUCUUAUCAUUUAGAGGAAGGAGAAGUCGUAACA
This 329-nucleotide ribosomal RNA is filed under the name uncultured eukaryote. RNAcentral describes it as "partial 18S ribosomal RNA". It matches the Rfam family "Eukaryotic small subunit ribosomal RNA", at positions 1470 to 1796 of the family's 1831-position model. The record is from RNAcentral.